CGUAACAAGGUCUCCGUUGGUGAACCAGCGGAGGGAUCAUUG
RNAcentral lists this ribosomal RNA (42 nucleotides) under Diaporthe longicolla. RNAcentral describes it as "partial 18S ribosomal RNA". RNAcentral also lists the same sequence under 9 other names. Lineage: Eukaryota; Fungi; Ascomycota; Sordariomycetes; Diaporthales; Diaporthaceae. The record is from RNAcentral.